Molecule: long non-coding RNA, 10264 nt
Filed under: Malus domestica (apple)
Lineage: Eukaryota; Viridiplantae; Streptophyta; Magnoliopsida; Rosales; Rosaceae
Description: long non-coding RNA (MDOM_LNC002614)
Source: RNAcentral
AUCCAUCUACAUAUCAAUUUAACUCGGGUAAGUAUAUCUUAGAGUUUUAACAUGAUCUUUGUGUUAGACAAUAUACGUGUUAUACAUGAACUUGAUCUGAUAUUAAUUUUUUGAGUAACAGAGGAAUCUGAAAGCUGCUCAACAAUGAAGUUCGUGGCUGCUGCCCUAAUUUUGAUGAUGGUGUGCUCUUCCUUUGCCGCAGUGAAGACUUCAAAUGAACACGAUGGAUAUCGACGUGACCGGCAGCUGGAUGAGGAUGGGAAGGAAGAAGUGUAUCCGGGAAGCAGUGUCAACAACCACCAUUUCAUCGACAGGCCAGACUUCGACAGCAAGGGUGGCGGUGACAACAAUGGUGGUCACUAAAAUGAGUCAUACUUUAGUUGUUCGAUAUUGUGGGUACGUUGUAAGUGCUGUUUGUAAUAUAUAAGCAAAUAGGUCUUGCCAAUGUUAGUUUAUGCUUUGGGUUUAUAUAAAAUAUACUAAAUAUAUAAUAUACAUAAUUCUGAAUAAGUGUGUAGUUUGGUAUAUAUGGUUAUGUAAUUAAGCCAUAAACCCAAUAAUAUUCGGAAUAAUCAAGCUUGGUUUUUAAGUCAGCCAAAAAUACUGACAGAUAAUGAUACGUAUGUAUAUAUUGCAUGUUUAUGGCAAAGGAUAUCACGUAUUGAUGAUAUGUUUCUCUUACCGCAAUUAGAAAAGAGACCUAGGAUCAUAAGAUGGAUCCUUCAAUUUCUUAAUUAGCAUACAAUAUAUAUAUACAUACAUGCAUGCAAUAUGAUGAUGGUGUAUAAAGUUUAAACUGAAUGAUUUAUUGAUGUGUGAAGAGUACAAUAUAUACAAGUUAAUUAUAGACUUGAAACAUAAGCAAUAUUCCUUGUCAUACAAGAAUUACAAUUACAAAAUCAAUCCCUAAGGGGAAGGAGAAUCCUUACCGGAUUCACCUUCACUUGCAUCCCCUCAAACUUGACGGUCUUAGGAAGACAAGUUUGGACCAAAGAAGAAAGAAGCGAGCCUUGGAAAGACCUUUGGUGAGUACAUCAGCAGGUUGAUCAACAGACGAGAACUAAACUGUUAGAUUAUUUAAUAUCCAAAGUAUGGGUUAUAGGUAUGGGUAGAAUAUCUAAUAUCCAAAGUAUGGGUUAUAGGUAUGGGUUAAUGUGUAAAGUAUGGGUGUUAGAAUAUUAGUGUGUGAAGCAUGGUGUGUGAUGUUCAUCGGGUGACUCACGACAUCCUUCUCCACUUGUAUAAGUUCUCUUUCUUGUAACCUUACACAUUUUCAAUACAAACAAUUCUUUCAAAACUAUCACAUGGUAUCAGAGCAGGCUUCCUAAAGAACCUGUUCUCUGAAAUCUUUUGAAAUGGAAGAAGAAAAUAUACUUGCUGCUUCAUCCGAGAACAUCCUUGGUUCUUCAUCAGUUUCUUCAAGUGAAGCUGAUGGAAAUCCCAAUCAACGUCUUUGUUCCAUACUCCUAACUGAGUUUAAUUAUCUUCCUUGGUCAAGAGCUAUUACUUUAGCUCUUGGAGGAAGAUCUAAGCUUGGUUUCAUCAAUGGAACUAUCGUACCUCCCAAGGUUGGUGAUUCUAAGUAUGAAGAAUGGUUCUGCAAGGAUCAGCUCGUCAUGUCCUGGUUGCUCAACUCAAUGGGCUCAAAGGUAUCAGAAAUUUUCAGCUUUUCAGAAUCAGCUUUUGAUCUGUGGAAGGCUGUCAAGGAGAUGUAUGGAAAUCAAAAUAAUGCAGCCAGGAUAUUUGAGCUGCAGAAGAGUCUUUCUGUUUUGAAUCAAGAUGGAAAGACUUUUAUCGAGCACUUGGGAAGACUGAAGUCUAUGUGGAAUGAGCUGAAUCUCUAUCGACCUCACACUACAGACCCAGCAAUCCUUCUUAAGCAGGCUGAAGAAGACAAGGUCUUUCAGCUUUUAUCCAGUCUUGACUCUACCUAUGAGGACCUGCGAAGCCACGUAUUGAUGAGUGUUGAACUACCAUCUCUCAAUACUGUGUGCACUAUCGUUCAACGAGAAGAAGCAAGAAGGAAAGUUAUGAGUACUAAGGUUGGUGAUCCUGAGUCUAGAGCUUUCGUUGCAAGUGACAGAAGGUUUGAAGGAAAAAAUUUCAAAGGAAAGAAAGAAAGAAAGGAGAAAUGCAAUGCAGUCAUUGUGGACAGAAGAAUCAUCUCAGAGACACUUGUUGGGUGUUGUAUCCACACCUUAAGCCUAACUUUUCCAAACAAACCAAACCUGGUCGCAGUGCAAAUCAAGUCCCUCGCUUGCAGACUGCCUCAACUGUUGGGAACUUCACAUCUAAUCCCUCAACUCUCUUGAGUGAGUUCACUUCCUUCACUCAGAAGAAAGAUGAAAGCAAUCUUCAUAAAGGAAACAGUGAAGCUAGCACCACUGAAUUAUUUGAGCAGUUCGCAAAAUUUCUUCAGACAAAGGUGUCAUCUUCCGUUGAUAUGUCAGGUAUUCUAAACUCAUUUAGUGCUGCACUUGCUUCCAGAAAACUUGCAAAUGUUUGGAUAAUAGACUCUGGAGCGACUGAUCACAUUACAAAUAUAAAAAGAUAUAUGCAUGACUUUAAAGAGGCAGUUAUUCCGCAAUUUGUCUCUGUUGCUAAUGGAACUGGUGUAUCAGUUUUGGGGUGAAGGGAAAGUCAAGUUAAUUGAUACUAAUGUUGAAUCAACUGCUCUAUAUGUGCCCUCCUUUCCAUUUCAGCUUCUGUCAGUAGGAAGGUUGACAAAUUCCUUAAACUGUGAUGUUAUAUUCUCGCCAUUCAAUGUGAUUUUCCAGGAUCGUAUCACGAAGAAGAAGAUUGGUGAAGGCAUGUAUAAAGAUGGCCUCUAUAUGCUUUCAUUGCAACCUGUUGAAGCUAGAGGUCUUCAAGUUGGUUUUUUGAAGAAUCAUCUAUUAUGGCAUAGACGAUUAGGGCAUCCCUCUAAUCUUGUGCAAUCACAUCUCUUCAAAACUUCAGAGAAUGUGAUGACUCAAGAUUGUGAAGUUUGCCAUUUUUCAAAACAGACGAGGUUGCCUUUUGAUGUCUCAUCAACCAAGUCAUGUAAACCUUUUGAGAUUGUGCACUCUGAUGUUUGGGGACCUGCACCCUUGGUUUCUUUUGAUGGUUUUAGAUACUUUGUCACCUUUGUGGAUGAUUUCUCAAGAUGUACCUGGUUGUAUUUGUUGAAAUCAAAAGAUGAAGUUAUUAAUGUGUUCCAAGAAUUUCACAGUCUUGUUACAAAUCAGUUCUCAACCCAACUUAAAGUCUUAAGGUCAGACAAUGGUACUGAGUAUAUGUCUAAUGCUUUUACUCAAUAUCUAACUUGUCAUGGAAUAAUUCACCAAACGAGCUGUGUUGGUACUCCGCAACAAAACGGAGUAGCAGAAAGGAAGAACCGUGAUCUACUGGAGAAAACUCGAUCACUUAUGCUUCAAAUGAGUGUACCUAAGAAAUUCUGGUCUCAUGGGGUUCUUACUGCUGCAUAUGUAAUUAAUAGGCUUCCAAGCAAGGUUCUCAAAUUCAAGGCACCUCUUGAAACACUUAAUGGCAGGAAAAUUAACUUGUCUCACCUUCGAGUGUUUGGAUGUGUUUGCUUUGUUCAUAUUCAAACCUUGCAUCGAGAUAAAUUGGACCCUAGAGCUGUAAGGUGUUUGUUCUUAGGGUACUCAUCUGUUCAAAAGGGAUAUAAGUGCUAUGACCCAAAGCGCAGGAAACUUUUGGUGUCUAGAGAUGUGGUUUUUGACGAGAAAACUCCUUUUUUUGCUAGUACCAGGGGUGAAGAUCUUCUGGGGGAGGAGGACUUUCUUGAUCAAAUCCUCACGCCAAUUAUGGAAAUCAAUGCACUGCCUCAUCAUUUUUCAGCUCCAGAUCAACCAAGCAACAAUGAAAUUUCGAUUGAUCCAGUUGAGUGUAAUUCAUCAUCUGACAUACUUGUUGAUAAUGAAUCAACUGAAGACACUGAACAAAAUCAAAUUUCGUCCGAGGAGAACCUUGCUAUUACUCCUGAAGUGAUCACUCCAAGGAGAAACCCUAGUAGAAAUCGGGGUAAGCCAACUUGGUUUAAAGAUUAUGUAAGUUAUGCCUCAAGACAUCCUAUAGAAAAAUAUCUUGAAUACUCAAGAGUAUCUUCGUCUCAUGCUGCUUUCCUAAGCAAAAUUUCAGCCUCAUCUGAACCAAGCUCAUUCCAAGAAGCUAACUCUCAAUUGAUCUGGCAAACAGCUAUGGAUGAGGAGCUUAGAGCUCUAAAUGAAAACAAAACUUGGAGCAUCACCAAGCUACCUAAGGGGAUGAGAGCUGUGGGGUGUCGAUGGGUGUAUAAAACCAAAUUUAAGAGUGAUGGUUCAGUGGAGAGACACAAAGCUAGAUUGGUGGCUAGAGGUUUUACUCAAACUUAUGGCAUUGAUUACAAGGAAACCUUUGCUCCUGUGGCAAAGAUGAACUCGGUAAGAGUGCUUCUCUCGGUUGCUGUCAACCAUGAUUGGCCCCUAUACCAAAUGGAUGUUAAGAAUGCCUUCCUGCAUGGAGAACUUAAAGAAGAUGUGUACAUGCAGUUGCCUCCGGGACAUCCACAAGAAGAAGAGGGCAUGGUUUGCAAGUUACACAAGGCCAUUUAUGGCCUCAAACAAUCUCCUCGAGCUUGGUAUGCCAAGUUAAGUUCUGUGUUAGAGAACAUUGGUUUUAAAAGGAGCAAUGCAGAUUCCUCACUAUUUGUGCGAGAUAGGUCAGCAGGUAAACUUGUCGUUCUCAUCUAUGUCGAUGAUCUCAUUGUGACUGGUGACAGUUUGACAGAAAUUCAGCGACUUAAGGGCUUUCUUCACAAAAAGUUUGCAAUUAAAGAUCUAGGAACUCUGAAGUAUUUUCUAGGCAUUGAAGUUGCUUCAUCUAGUAAAGGCUUGCUCUUGAACCAACGCAAGUACAUACUUGAUUUACUUCAAGAGUCCAAAAUGCUUGAGGCAAAACCAGUGGCAACCCCAAUAGCUUGCAAAGAGAAACUUGGAUUAGAUGGAGAUUUACUGAUAGAUGUUGGUUUAUACCAGAGAUUGGUAGGGAAACUUAUUUACCUUACCAUUACUCGUCCUGAUAUCAUGCAUGCCGUGAGCCUAGUCAGUCAGUUCAUGCAUGCUCCUCGAUCAAUUCACUUACAAGCUGUUCGAAGGAUCUUGCGCUACUUGAAAGGCACUGUUGGAACUGGGAUUGUGAUGAGGAAGAUCGGAAAUGCUCACAUUGUUGGCUACACAGAUGCAGACUGGGGUGGCUCCAAAAUUGAUCGAAGAUCUACUACUGGAUAUUGUACAUUUGUUGGUGGAAAUCUGGUGACAUGGAAAAGCAAAAAACAAAGUGUGGUGGCUCGAUCAAGUGCAGAAGCUGAAUAUCGUGCCAUGGCAUCUACUACCUAUGAGUUAAUUUGGCUGCAAGGUUUGCUCAACGACUUAGGGUUCAAGAGAACACUGCCUAUGCCUCUUUUCUGUGAUAACCAAGCUGCUAUUUACAUUGCAUCUAAUCCUGUAUUUCAUGAAAGAACCAAACACAUUGAAAUGGACUGUCAUUUUGUUCGAGAAAAAACCCAAUCUGAUGUCAUUCAACCUGUUUUUGUUCGGAGCACAUAUCAACUAGCAGACAUCUUCACCAAAGGAUUGUCUCGGGUUCAAUUCAACACUCUUUUGGUCCAACUUGGCUUGAUGAAUAUACUAGCCUUCGUUUGAGGGGGAGUGUUAGAUUAUUUAAUAUCCAAAGUAUGGGUUAUAGGUAUGGGUAGAAUAUCUAAUAUCCAAAGUAUGGGUUAUAGGUAUGGGUUAAUGUGUAAAGUAUGGGUGUUAGAAUAUUAGUGUGUGAAGCAUGGUGUGUGAUGUUCAUCGGGUGACUCACGACAUCCUUCUCCACUUGUAUAAGUUCUCUUUCUUGUAACCUUACACAUUUUCAAUACAAACAAUUCUUUCAAAACUAUCACAUAAACCUUUUGAGCACUCAACUGAACUCGCUCAUGAACAAAAUGAUAAUCCACCUAUAAGCUUAGUGUGAGCUUGAAAAAUCGGAUUAGCAGCCAUAUAAGUAGUGCUCAAAUUGUGACAAAAAAGAAGAAUAUAUAGGACUGGGGGCCGGUUGUACAUAAGAUAACCAGAUGAAUUCCACACAAGUAUGAGCCAAAGUAAGAUAUUCAGAUUUGGCACUGGAACUAGAAACUGUAGACUGCUUAGACAAGCUUCAAGAAAUAAGAUUUAAGACCAUGAAAAUAAAUACCCAGACAUUGAACAUCGCGUGUAAGGAUAGCACCCAAAUUAGAAUGGGAGAACCCCACGUAACAGUAGGAGACCAGAGAAAGGUCUAAACUGAAUCCCAAGCUCUAGGGUGCCCUUAACAUAAUGUAAAAUACGCUGAGCAGCAAUGAGAUGUAGUGCACAAAGAUGAACCAUGACCUAAAUAACAUAAUUAACAACGAAGGCAAUAUCAGGGCGUGUCAAAGUUAGAUACUAAAAAGAACCAACAAGUUAACGAAACUCUGUGUGAUCAGUGAGUGGAGAAUCGUCUAAAGUUUAUGGCUCAACCAAAGAUGUACGUCGGGUGCUGCUGAUCAGUUAUAUUGGCUAUUGAUUUGUGCACUUUGAAACUUUAUCCAAAUAAAGAACAAAUAAACAUUUGGCAAUGAGCAGAAAUACCGAAACAUUUUUGCUCAACUUCUAUCAUUCGAUAUGAUAUUCUCAACAACCGUCGCCAUACGAAAUUUUCUCUCCCUACAAUGAGUUGUAUAAAACUAAUGGUAUGAAAAAAAUGAUUAGGGAUCUGUUGUCUUCAAUUUGAUGUCUCUUUUAUGUCUAUCCCCAUCGUUGUCGAUGCUCCUUACAGUCGAAAAAGCUUUCCGUCCUUUCAUUUUCUCUCUUCAAAUUCCCUUACUAGGUUGUGAUCGAUCCAUCUCAUCAAACAGCAAACAGAGUGAAAUUUGAAAUUUGGGGAUAUCUAAUCGAUCGAUACAUGAAGAUGACGAAAAACGUCGAUAUGGCUUCCCCGGCAAGAGAGAAUGGAAGAAAAAGAUAUAAAAAGAGAGGAAAAGAAGCUUUGCCCCAAUGAGGAAGAGCCUUGCGGCCAAAUUGCAUGGUGGGAAGAUGGGGUUGGUGGUUGCGUGCUAGAUUCGGGGAGGUUGCUAUUAGAUUUUUGCAGUGGCCUUUGCUUUUCUUUAAUUUUCAGUUUUUAAUCAACUUUUAUGCAAAAUAAUGGUGUUAAAUUUAAAGUUAAGUGGAGGAAUACCUGUAGUGGGGAAAGAGUGCAAGGUUCAAAUGUCAACAACCAAAUCCUUUUAUAUAGUAAUGUCAUCCAUAAUUUAUCAAUACAAACAAAUUACAAUUGUUAUUGGUGAGGUUUCAUACCAUAAAAACGUUGCAUAAUAGGCUUAUUAUCAAUAAAAGCAAAUACAUCUCUCUCAAUGUGAACAAGCAUGCGAUCACUCAACCAUUGAUCUCCCAUUUUGUUACGCAAUGGUGUUUUCACAAUGUUCACAGUAAAAAAAACUCUCUACACCGAAACUGUUGCAACCGGUAACUAAGAAGCUUUUACACUAACAUAUAGCUUGCACAUUCCCGGUCUUCACCAACUCCUUUGCAAGAUCACUAAUUCCUCUCAAUGAUGAAAACUCACUAUGCAUCUUCAUAUCAUGAAUGUAAUUGUCAAGUUGAAUUGGAAGAUUCAUGAGGUCCAUACGAUCAAAAUUUUGAGGAUAAAGUUAGGCUAAACGAACAAUUUUUGCUUUGUCAAAAGAUGCAAAAUUAUUCACGCAACAUGCCAUACAAAGAAGCAACUCGAGUUUACCUCAUUGAAGUGAUCAUUCAAUUCCUUUAGUGGCAUAUCAAAGACUUGAAAAUAGAGGUCCACAGGAUAGUAAUGGAAGUUUGUGAGUCUUGGAGCUUUACGCCUUGAUUUUACGAGUACGAAAUGCAAAUCAUCCAUGUUAGGAACGAUAAUCUCAUGCUCCUCACAAAACUUUCGUACAUCAUCAAGCAAGUACCCAAAGUCAUCAUCUCUCAAAGAUUGUAGUCUUUGCUUGCAUACUUCCACUAACGCCAUCGCAUUCACAAUACCUUGAUCUUUCUUUUGUAAUGCGUGUGAUAACUCAUUUAUAAUUCUCUAUAUAAGUCAUAAAAAAAAGGUGAAACACAAAAUCAAAAGUUUGUAUGUCGUGGAAUAACUUGCUUCACCCAAAUUGUCUUGGUUGCCAUCAUCUUUAAUCCAUCCAAGCACCUCCACCACGGCUUCAAACAUAACAAUAAUAUUAACUUAGUACCAUAAUGUGAGUUCCACCAUGUAUCAUAAGGAUGCAUGAGACUAAUCACUUGAUUUAAUCCUGUACCAGUUUCAAGAUCACAUAUAUCAAGAGUUCUUAAUUUAUUCUUGUCUCUUCUCUCUAAAUGCACCACGAUGCUUACACGAUGAUCCAAUAGUAUUGACCAAACUACUAGCAUUGUUGAAGAAAAUGGCAACACCCUCACUUCCCUUUGCAACACCUAUAAGAGCUAGUUGAAGUUGGUGUGCAAAACAAUGAAUAUAAAAUGCUUGAUGAUACUUGUUAAAAAAUCUUUGUUUUAAGGCCAUUUAGCUCACCUUUCAUAUUACUAGCUCCAUCAUAAUUUUGUCCUCGUAACUUGGACAUACUCAAAUUUGUUGUAACAAAAAUAAUCUCUCAAUGGCUUCUUUGAGCGAGCUACUAGUUGUAGAGGAGACAUGUUACACAUCCAAAAAUCUUUCAAUUACUUCUCCUUUUUUGUUCACAUAAUGCAAUACCACCACCAUUUGCUCUCUAGUUGAAACAUCACGUGAUCCAUCAACCAAAAGAGAAAAAAUGCACCUUCCAUACCUUUUGUGAUUGCAUCAAUAGUUUCAAUGGCACAAGUAUGGACAAGAUCUUUUUGAAUAUCGGAAGAAGUAUACUUAAGAUUCUUGGGAGCAUUCUCAAACACAACCUUCCUAACUUUCUCAUUAUGAUUAUGAAAUUGCACAAGCUCCAAAUAAUUACCCCUAUUGCUUGAUUUCAUUGAUUCAUCGUGGCCCCAAAAGGAAAACCAUGUCCCAACAACCAUCUUAUGCACUCAAGUGAGACACUCAAUAAGUCUGAUAAUUAAUGUGAGCUUCAUCGGUUUGCUUAAUCACAAUUGUUUCAAUGUGCUGCUUUUGUGUCAUCAAAUCUCUAGUUAGCUUGUUGUACAACUUUAUUAGAUGAAGACUUCCCAAUACCUCCCUCAGGGACUUGAAGAUUUUCAGGUCAUUCCUUCCAAUUUGUAAACCAUUUCUCAGUGAAGACAUCACUUCUAGUACUACCCAUUUGAUUGAAACCACAAUUGAAAAGAUAGCAAUAAUGGAAAAAUGUAGCAUCUUUUAAUAUACUAUACUCCAACCACUUAAACAUAUCAAACCAAGCGGUGAUAAAACAUCGAUGUUGCUAGUUUUUCUUGGUAUGAUGUGGCCCUUAGGCUAACAAGGAUCAUUUUGAAGAUAGUGUCUACAAAUUGCUUCAUGAUAAUUUGGUGGAUAAUCAAGCAUUCAAUGUCUAUGUCUAAGGUCUGUAAGAAGAUUAACCAAUAUUUCAUCCAACUCAGUGGCCUUACUUUGUUGUGAACUACCCGGAAUAUUCGAAUGAGGUUGGAAUAUUUGAAGGAGGAGGACUACCCGAAAUAUCUGAAGGGGAUUUAAGCAUUGUUUCUUAUAGUAUCGUUCUGUUACGUAACUGUAGAAUGGAAAGAAAAAAAAUUCUUAGACUUCUUAGACUCUUAAUCCUAGAGUAGACUAUACUAAUAUGACUAAUAACUAAUCCAACCAACAAUUCAAUUAAUCAAUACCAAUAAUCAUACAAAUGAUUCAAUAAACAAAAAUUCAAUUCAACUACUCAUAUGAAUAAUUGUAUACAUUAUUUAAUAAUUCAAUUAAUUAAUCAAUAAUCAAUAAUUCAAAUUUUACCGUAAACAAUAAUUUCAUAAUUUCAUUCAUCAAUAAUCAUAGAAUUCAUAUCAAUAAUUAAUAACCAAUAACCAUAUUAGUCUAUUACCAUAUGAUUCUAUACCAAUUAAACAAAAAUUCGUAUUAAAUAAUUAAUUAGGGUUAGGGAUUAUAGAUUUAGAAAUUAAAAAAUUUACCUAAAAUUGGGAGUGGCUUUGAAGGCUAGAAACUGGCGGAUGGCAGCAGCAAAUGGGCCAAAUAGGGUUGAGUGGGUCUUCGGUUCCGUUGCUGGGAAAUUGGGGGGGGGGGGGGGCAUCAGAGUUCUCUAAUUGGAAAAUGGUAACAAGAAAGGAUUUGAGAGAGAGAG